Molecule: ribosomal RNA, 508 nt
Filed under: uncultured bacterium
Lineage: Bacteria
Description: bacterial SSU rRNA
Rfam family: Bacterial small subunit ribosomal RNA
Source: RNAcentral
AGAGUUUGAUCAUGGCUCAGAUUGAACGCUGGCGGCAUGCCUUACACAUGCAAGUCGAACGGCAGCACGGGAGCUUGCUCCUGGUGGCGAGUGGCGAACGGGUGAGUAAUGCAUCGGAACGUGCCCUGGAAGUGGGGGAUAACGUAGCGAAAGUUACGCUAAUACCGCAUAUUCUGUGAGCAGGAAAGCAGGGGGAUCUUCGGACCUUGCGCUUUUGGAGCGGCCGAUGUCGGAUUAGCUAGUUGGUGGGGUAAAGGCCCACCAAGGCGACGAUCCGUAGCGGGUCUGAGAGGAUGAUCCGCCACACUGGAACUGAGACACGGUCCAGACUCCUACGGGAAGCAGCAGUGGGGAAUUUUGGACAAUGGGCGCAAGCCUGAUCCAGCCAUGCCGCGUGAGUGAAGAAGGCCUUCGGGUUGUAAAACUCUUUCGGUGGGGAAGAAAUUGCUUGGGUUAAUACCCUGAGUAGAUGACGGUACCCGCAUAAGAAGCACCGGCUAACUACGUG